UGCAAAGUCAAAACCUAAUAUCCAUCCACUAUUAGACAAAACAGCGACAGAACAUAUCAACUGAGGAUAAGACUAUUCGAUGUCAAAUUAUGCUCAUAAAGGAACUGGAGCAGAAGGUUGCGUUUAGUUUAAAGCCUGCGUGUCAGUAAGAUUCUCUCCAGGGACUUUGCGUUUAGCUCUUGCCCUCCAGGGUGUGCUUGUCAAACAGGUACUCUGCCAUCUUGUUGGUGUUGGCGUCCAUGCGGGUGAGGUUG
Molecule: long non-coding RNA, 254 nt
Organism: Micropterus salmoides (largemouth bass)
Lineage: Eukaryota; Metazoa; Chordata; Actinopteri; Centrarchiformes; Centrarchidae
Exons: 2
Source: RefSeq, a predicted model, not a curated record